UACAGAGGUCCCAAGCGUUGUUCGGAUUCACUGGGCGUAAAGGGUGCGCAGGUGGGUUGGCAAGUUCGAUGUGAAAGCCCCGGGCUUAACCCGGGAAUGGCAUUGGAAACUGCUGAUCUGGAGGAUCGGAGGGGGGACUGGAAUUCCAGGUGUAGCGGUGAAAUGCGUAGAUAUCUGGAGGAAUACCGGUGGCGAAGGCGGCAUCCUGGACCGGCAUUGACGCUGAGGAGCGAAAGCUAGGGGAGCAAACGGG
Molecule: ribosomal RNA, 253 nt
Filed under: uncultured bacterium
Lineage: Bacteria
Description: partial 16S ribosomal RNA
Rfam family: Bacterial small subunit ribosomal RNA
Source: RNAcentral